Molecule: long non-coding RNA, 592 nt
Organism: Balaenoptera musculus (blue whale)
Lineage: Eukaryota; Metazoa; Chordata; Mammalia; Artiodactyla; Balaenopteridae
Exons: 3
Source: RefSeq, a predicted model, not a curated record
UCAUCUUAUCCAGGCCGAUGUGCAGCUCCUGGAUGACAUCCCGGUAGCUGUCCCCGAUCUGGUGGCUCCAGACUACCUUCCCUGAGUGUUUCCAGUGAGCCGGGUGCAGGGCGCGUCUACCUCUCAGAACCCCCAUGAAGGGAAGCCAAGCUCACCCCAAUUUGCAGACCCCGUAGAUGCUAGGUGGCUUGUCCAGGGGUCCCACAGCUCGAGGGCACAGAAGUGGAGGCAGGUCCAGAUUUCCCGGUGCUCAGGCCAAUGGCCUUUCCAACUGUGUGGGCACCACGUGACAUCAGGAACUGAGCACGAGACUUCAUCUCAACGAUUUACAGAUUUCAGAAAAUGGUCUCUGAACUUUGGUAUCUUCAAGUGAAAUUGUUUGAAAAAACUUAAAUGUUUACUAGAUUUGUGCUGCCGAAGAUGUGAAGAGUAUACAGGGAUGUGUUUAUGGUAUGGGGGAGACGUGUGACAAAUUGGUAGAAUUCUGGAUUUAAAUUCUUUUGCUUGAAUAAAAAACAACAACAAGGUCCUACUUAUAGCACAGGAAACUAUAUUCAAUAUCCUGUGAUAAACCAUAAUAGAAAAGAAUAUG